Molecule: ribosomal RNA, 459 nt
Filed under: uncultured bacterium
Lineage: Bacteria
Description: bacterial SSU rRNA
Rfam family: Bacterial small subunit ribosomal RNA
Source: RNAcentral
CCUACGGGUGGCUGCAGUAGGGAAUAUUGGUCAAUGGGCGGAAGCCUGAACCAGCCAUGCCGCGUGCAGGAAGAAGGCCCUCUGGGUUGUAAACUGCUUUUGACAGGGAACAAGUCGGCCAUGCGUGGCUAAGUGAGUGUACCUGUAGAAUAAGCCACGGCUAACUACGUGCCAGCAGCCGCGGUAAUACGUAGGUGGCAAGCGUUGUCCGGAUUUAUUGGGUUUAAAGGGUGCGUAGGCGGCCAUGUAAGUCAGUUGUGAAAUACCCCGGCUCAACCGGGGGGGUGCGAUUGAUACUGCGUGGCUUGAGUGGCAGCGAGGUUGGCGGAAUUGACGGUGUAGCGGUGAAAUGCAUAGAUAUCGUCAAGAACACCGAUAGCGAAGGCAGCCAACUAGGGGCCAACUGACGCUGAGGCACGAAAGUGCGGGGAUCAAACAGGAUUAGAUACCCAUGUAGUC